Molecule: ribosomal RNA, 148 nt
Filed under: Bifidobacterium choerinum
Lineage: Bacteria; Bacillati; Actinomycetota; Actinomycetes; Bifidobacteriales; Bifidobacteriaceae
Description: partial 16S ribosomal RNA
Rfam family: Bacterial small subunit ribosomal RNA
Source: RNAcentral
GCAGCCUGAUGCAGCGACGCCGCGUGCGGGAUGGAGGCCUUCGGGUUGUAAACCGCUUUUGUUCAAGGGCAAGGCGGGUCUUCGGGCCCGUUGAGUGGAUUGUUCGAAUAAGCACCGGCUAACUACGUGCCAGCAGCCGCGGUAAUAA